RNAcentral lists this long non-coding RNA (440 nucleotides) under Vigna radiata. RNAcentral describes it as "long non-coding RNA (VRAD_LNC005359)". Lineage: Eukaryota; Viridiplantae; Streptophyta; Magnoliopsida; Fabales; Fabaceae. The record is from RNAcentral.
GGGACCCAUGCUUCAAUUUCCUGAACCACGUAACAUGAUAAUCAUUCAACCAUGAAAAGCAAACCUUCCAUAAUUUGUAACAGCCAUUUCACACAAUGCAAAAUGCGAAAGCUAUUUUUCAUUCCAUGGAAGAAGAAAACCAUGAGCUACAACCAUUCUCAUCUCUCCAAAACGUUCCAAACGAAAAAGUAAGGUGUAAGUCAAAAUGAAGUGGCGGCUGCCACACAAAACCUAGGACCGUGAGAAUGUCUCCAAAAUGGGUGGGGUCCACCUACAAUAAAACCCUAGAUGCCACAUCAUGUUUUUUUUACUAUUGGGCUUAGUCUAUUCUAGCAAAAUUGGCCCACAUUACAAAAAUUCAUCUACAAAUUCUAAAUUACUAAGCUAAGCUAGAUUAAUUCUAAUUUCCCUUGUGGAGAGUCUUCACUUAAUUGGUGCCC